CCUUGAAUGGGGCGUGCCCAUCACUGCUUUUGUCAUAGUGCCUCAGAUUGGAAUGACCCCCGCCCAGGAGAGUGGCCAAGCACACUGUGGCCCACUCAUACAUCAGAAGAUUACACACUGGAUAAAAUGACACAAGCCACCUGCUACACACCAUGGUGCAGGUGAAUCUCCAGGCUUUGUGUGCAGUAAAGUAAGCCAGACACAGAGACCAAAUUUUACUGUUUGUAUGAACACCAAGAGUCUCUGGUGUUAAAAGUCAGGCUAGCAGUCACCUCUGGGGUGGCAUUUACUGGGGAGAAGACCUGGGGAGCAUGAAAUGUUGAUGCCUCGAUCUGAGGUUGGGUGGCUGUAGGAACCCCUGUGGCCGCCCACCCAGCUGUGCACAUAGUCCUGGGGAACUCCAUUUCGCAUAAAUUACACGGUGGGCAGGACCCAGGUCACAAGGGAUGGAAUCUAUGCAGAAAGGAGGUGUUCCAAGGGGAACUCAGAAGAGCAGGGAAGGAGAAUAGAGUGACGCUACUGCUGGGAAAGAGAAGGUCCAGUGCGUUCUUGCCAGAAAGGUUUUCAGACUCUGUCUCAACUCUGCUGUGACCACCAUGCCCAGCCCUGUGCUGUGCUGCCCACCAGGCCUCAGCUGUGCCCCACAUGGGCAGUGGGCCAAGGGUGGCGUCUCUCCCUCCUCCACAGGUGACAGCAGAGAAAACACAGCCUCACGUAGACCCUCCCUUCUCGAAAGGAGCCGACAGUCCUGAUCCCAGGCCCCAAAGCUCCUCUCAACCAUCAGCCCCAAUCACAACGACUCAACAACUCGACCUGCCUGCACACAACCUCAGCUCUGCACUUAGGACCUGCCCAAGCCAGCCUUCACCUUGGGAGCUGAAAAGUUCACAUCAAGCAGAUUUUCCUCCAGUGUCCUUGACAGGAAAGCUACAUCUGAGAGCGUUUAACCCCAAACUCCAAAGCUGCAAACAGUCAAGAGAACCUAGGCCAGAGCGAGGCCUGCACAGCACAGUGCACGGGCCCUCGGGACAGACGUCCAAGGGACCUGGAUAGCACUCUUUUGCCCGCCCUGGUCUGUCUGUCCUAGCACCCAGGAUGUCCCUUCUCCCCCAGGGGUGACCCUCUCACUAUAAGAGACCCUGAACUAACUACAAA
This 1155-nucleotide long non-coding RNA is filed under the name Heterocephalus glaber (naked mole-rat). RNAcentral's name for it is "lncRNA (ENSHGLG00100043339.1)". Lineage: Eukaryota; Metazoa; Chordata; Mammalia; Rodentia; Bathyergidae. The record is from RNAcentral.